UACAGAGGGUGCGAGCGUUGUCCGGAAUCACUGGGCGUAAAGGGCGCGUAGGUGGCGGCCCAAGUCCAUGGUGAAAGCUCGAUGCUCAACAUCGAGUCGGCCACGGAUACUGGGUUGCUCGAGCACUGUAGGGGCAGAUGGAAUUCCGGGUGUAGCGGUGGAAUGCGUAGAGAUCCGGAAGAACACCGGUGGCGAAGGCGGU
This 202-nucleotide ribosomal RNA is filed under the name uncultured bacterium. RNAcentral's name for it is "partial 16S ribosomal RNA". It matches the Rfam family "Bacterial small subunit ribosomal RNA", at positions 524 to 725 of the family's 1533-position model. The record is from RNAcentral.